This 139-nucleotide non-coding RNA is filed under the name Bacillus sp. (in: firmicutes). RNAcentral describes it as "Bacillus sp. SAM-I sequence". It matches the Rfam family "SAM riboswitch aptamer (S box leader)". Rfam says of the family: The SAM riboswitch is found upstream of a number of genes which code for proteins involved in methionine or cysteine biosynthesis in Gram-positive bacteria. The SAM riboswitch acts at the level of transcription termination control. The predicted structure consists of a complex stem-loop region followed by a single stem loop terminator region. Lineage: Bacteria; Bacillati; Bacillota; Bacilli; Caryophanales; Bacillaceae. The record is from RNAcentral.
AUCUUAUCGAGAGCGGCGGAGGGAUAGGCCCGAUGAAGCCCGGCAACCGAUUUAUGUUUAUGCGUGAACCGCGUGUACAUAAGUGCCAUGGUGCUAAUUCCUACAAUGCCGUUUGAGUGCGGACGUUGGCAGAUGAGAC